This is a transfer RNA of Ovis aries (sheep), 72 nucleotides long. It matches the Rfam family "tRNA". From Rfam's summary of the family: Transfer RNA (tRNA) molecules are approximately 80 nucleotides in length. NCBI's taxonomy places the organism in Eukaryota, Metazoa, Chordata, Mammalia, Artiodactyla, Bovidae. The record is from Rfam.
UCCCUGGUGGCUCAGAUGGUAAAGCGUCUGCCUACAAUGCAGGAGACCCAGGUUCGAUUCCUGUGUUGGGAA